Micropterus dolomieu (smallmouth bass) is the source of this 719-nucleotide long non-coding RNA. RefSeq lists it as uncharacterized. Lineage: Eukaryota; Metazoa; Chordata; Actinopteri; Centrarchiformes; Centrarchidae. The record is from RefSeq and is a predicted model, not a curated record. The transcript has 4 exons.
UUAGGAUGCUUUAGAACAGGUUGGACCACUGUUUUUUGGAAUGGUAUAGAUCUUUGGAUUUUCCUAUAGACUGUGAAAGUUUGCAAAGGGUAUGAAUAACUUUGGACAUGCCACAUUUUGUUUGAAUGUAAAUAAAAGCAAAUAAAUAGCGUGCAGAAGCUAGAAAAUACGGCAAGGAGCUGGCUGAAUCAAUUUGGGCCAACAUAUUGCCACUGCAGGUCAUCCUUUUGUGACCAAGCAUGGGUGGAAAAUGGAUAAAUCCAGCACGGGGCUUUCGGCAGUGGACAGGGGUCAGCAUGGGCAACCUGAAUGGUCUGUGGUUUCGCAGCCCCAUUCACAACAAACUGCGGUGCUGUGUGUCCUGACAAGUUUCUAUAAGGACCUGUGUUUACUUUUUCAGCAGUUUGACCUACAGUAGGUCGUCGGAAUUGACCUACAUGGGCCAGUCUUUGUUCCCCAAUAGCAUCAGUGAACAUUGGCCAUCCAUGACCAUGUCAUCAGUUCACCGCUUUUCCUUCCUUGGACCACUUUUAUAGUGAUCACUGCUGAACGGGAACACCCCGCAAGGGUUGCAGUUUUCGGAGAUGUCCUGAUCUAGUCGUCUAGCCAUCCCAAUUUGGCCCUUGUCAAUGUUGCUAAAAAUGUAAAUUUUUACUGCUUCUAACACAUCAACUUUGAGGACAAAAUGUUCACUUGCUGCCUAAUAAAUCCCACCCACU